This 395-nucleotide ribosomal RNA is filed under the name Streptomyces sp. NWU339. Its description in RNAcentral is "bacterial SSU rRNA". It matches the Rfam family "Bacterial small subunit ribosomal RNA", at positions 1 to 397 of the family's 1533-position model. The record is from RNAcentral. Lineage: Bacteria; Bacillati; Actinomycetota; Actinomycetes; Kitasatosporales; Streptomycetaceae.
CAUUCACGGAGAGUUUGAUCCUGGCUCAGGACGAACGCUGGCGGCGUGCUUAACACAUGCAAGUCGAACGAUGAACCACCUCGGUGGGGAUUAGUGGCGAACGGGUGAGUAACACGUGGGCAAUCUGCCCUGCACUCCGGGACAAGCCCUGGAAACGGGGUCUAAUACCGGAUACCCGCCGCCGCCCGCAUGGGCGGCGGCGGAAAGCUCCGGCGGUGCAGGAUGAGCCCGCGGCCUAUCAGCUGGUUGGUGAGGUAACGGCUCACCAAGGCGACGACGGGUAGCCGGCCUGAGAGGGCGACCGGCCACACUGGGACUGAGACACGGCCCAGACUCCUACGGGAGGCAGCAGUGGGGAAUAUUGCACAAUGGGCGCAAGCCUGAUGCAGCGACGC